GGAUAACCUACCCUUAGGACCGGGAUAACCCUGGGAAACUGGGGAUAAUACUGGAUAGGCAAUUUUUCCUGUAAUGGUUUCUUGUUUAAAUGUUUUUUCGCCUAAGGAUGGGUCUGCGGCCGAUUAGGUAGUUGGUUAGGUAAUGGCUUACCAAGCCGUUGAUCGGUACGGGUUGUGAGAGCAAGAGCCCGGAGAUGGAACCUGAGACAAGGUUCCAGGCCCUACGGGGCGCAGCAGGCGCGAAACCUCCGCAAUGUGAGAAAUCGCGACGGGGGGAUCCCAAGUGCCAUUCUUAACGGGAUGGCUUUUCAUUAGUGUAAAGGGCUUUUGGAAUAAGGGCUGGGCAAGACCGGUGCCAGCCGCCGCGGUAACACCGGCAGCUCUAGUGGUAGCAGUUUUUAUUGGGCCUAAAGCGUCCGUAGCCGGUUUAAUAAGUCUCUGGUGAAAUCCUGUAGCUUAACUGUGGGAAUUGCUGGAGAUACUAUUAGACUUGAGAUCGGGAGAGGUUAGAGGUACUCCCAGGGUAGAGGUGAAAUUCUGUAAUCCUGGGAGGACCGCCUGUUGCGAAGGCGUCUAACUGGAACGAUUCUGACGGUGAGGGACGAAAGUUAGGGGCGCGAACCGGAUUAGAUACCCGGGUAGUCCUAACUGUAAACGAUGCGGACUUGGUGUUGGGGUGGCUUUGAGCUGCUCCAGUGCCGAAGGGAAGCUGUUAAGUCCGCCGCCUGGGAAGUACGGUCGCAAGACUGAAACUUAA
RNAcentral lists this ribosomal RNA (757 nucleotides) under uncultured archaeon. RNAcentral's name for it is "bacterial SSU rRNA". It matches the Rfam family "Archaeal small subunit ribosomal RNA", at positions 102 to 859 of the family's 1478-position model. The record is from RNAcentral.